CAGCCGCAGAACUCUGUGCUAAGGUAGCAUAAUCAUUUGUCUUCUAAUUAAAGACUAGCAUGAAAGGCAAAACGAAUAAAAAAUUUUAUUAUUAUAACUCAAUUAAAUUAAACUUUUCGUAAAAAUGCAAAAAUAAAACAAAAAGACGACAAGACCCUGUUGAACUUAACCACCGUUAAACUGGGGCAGUUUUUUUAUAAAAAUUCUAAUAUUAAUAAAAAUAAACUAUACUUAACAGAAAAGAAAAAGUUACCACAGGGAUAACAGCGCAAUUUUUUUCUAAAGCUCUUAUACAAAAAAAAGAUUACGACCUCGAUGUUGAAUUAAUUAAUCAAGAAAAAGCAAAAUUUUUCAAGAAAGUCUGUUCGACUUUUUAAUAAUUACAUGAUCUG
Molecule: ribosomal RNA, 392 nt
Filed under: Falcileptoneta maewhaensis
Lineage: Eukaryota; Metazoa; Arthropoda; Arachnida; Araneae; Leptonetidae
Description: partial large subunit ribosomal RNA
Rfam family: Bacterial large subunit ribosomal RNA
Source: RNAcentral